UACAGAGGGUGCGAGCGUUGUUCGGAAUUAUUGGGCGUAAAGCGCGUGUAGGCGGUGGUGCAUGUCGGGUGUGAAAGCCCUCGGCUUAACCGAGGAAGUGCGCCCGAAACUGCAUCGCUCGAGUGCCGGAGAGGGUGGCGGAAUUCCGGGUGUAGAGGUGAAAUUCGUAGAUAUCCGGAGGAACACCAGUGGCGAAGGCGGCCACCUGGACGGACACUGACGCUGAGACGCGAAAGCGUGGGGAUCAAACAGGAUUAGAUACCCUGGUAGUCCACGCUGUAAACGAUGGGAACUAGGUGUGGUGGGUGUUGACCCCUGCCGUGCCGCAGCUAACGCAUUAAGUUCCCCGCCUGGGAAGUACGGUCGCAAGACUAAA
This 376-nucleotide ribosomal RNA is filed under the name uncultured bacterium. RNAcentral describes it as "bacterial SSU rRNA". It matches the Rfam family "Bacterial small subunit ribosomal RNA", at positions 524 to 898 of the family's 1533-position model. The record is from RNAcentral.